GACGAACGCUGGCGGCGUGCUUAACACAUGCAAGUCGAACGGAAAGGCCCUGCUUUUGUGGGGUGCUCGAGUGGCGAACGGGUGAGUAACACGUGAGUAACCUGCCCUUGACUUUGGGAUAACUUCAGGAAACUGGGGCUAAUACCGGAUAGGAGCUCCUGCUGCAUGGUGGGGGUUGGAAAGUUUCGGCGGUUGGGGAUGGACUCGCGGCUUAUCAGCUUGUUGGUGGGGUAGUGGCUUACCAAGGCUUUGACGGGUAGCCGGCCUGGGAGGGUGACCGGCCACCUUGGGACUGCGAUACGGCCCAGACGCCUACGGGGGGCAGCAGUGGGGAGUAUUGCACAAUGGGCGGAAGCCUGAUGCGGAAACGCCGCGUGCGGGAUGACGGCCUUCGGGUUGUGAACCGCUUUCGCCUGUGACGAAGCGUGAGUGACGGUAAUGGGUAAAGAAGCACCGGCUAACUACGUG
This 468-nucleotide ribosomal RNA is filed under the name uncultured bacterium. RNAcentral describes it as "partial 16S ribosomal RNA". It matches the Rfam family "Bacterial small subunit ribosomal RNA", at positions 28 to 507 of the family's 1533-position model. The record is from RNAcentral.